UACGGAGGGUGCAAGCGUUAUCCGGCUUCACUGGGUUUAAAGGGUGCGUAGGCGUACAGGUCAGUCAGUGGUGUAAUCUCCGAGCUUAACUCGGAAACUGCCGUUGAUACUAUUUGUCUUGAAUACUGUGGAGGUAAGCGGAAUAUGUCAUGUAGCGGUGAAAUGCUUAGAUAUGACAUAGAACACCAAUUGCGAAGGCAGCUUACUACACAGCGAUGGACGCUGAGGCACGAAAGCGUGGGGAUCAAACAGG
This 253-nucleotide ribosomal RNA is filed under the name uncultured bacterium. Its description in RNAcentral is "partial 16S ribosomal RNA". It matches the Rfam family "Bacterial small subunit ribosomal RNA", at positions 524 to 776 of the family's 1533-position model. The record is from RNAcentral.